This 1467-nucleotide ribosomal RNA is filed under the name Candidatus Daviesbacteria bacterium RIFCSPHIGHO2_01_FULL_37_27. Its description in RNAcentral is "bacterial SSU rRNA". It matches the Rfam family "Bacterial small subunit ribosomal RNA". RNAcentral also lists the same sequence under 1 other name. Lineage: Bacteria; Candidatus Daviesiibacteriota. The record is from RNAcentral.
AUUGAGAGUUUGAUCCUGGCUCAGGAUUAACGCUGGCGGCGUGCCUUAAGCAUGCAAGUCAAGGGAGUCCCGAUUUAUCGGGACGACCGGCGGACGGGUGAGUAACGCGUGGGAAUCUACCUUAGAGUGAAGCAUAGCCUCUCGAAAGAGGGGGUAAUUCUUCAUAACAUCGCAAGAUUAAAGUCGCAAGACGCUUUAAGAUGAGCCCGCGUCCUAUCAGCUAGUUGGUGGGGUAAUGGCCUACCAAGGCGACGACGGGUAGCUGGUCUGAGAGGAUGGUCAGCCACAACGGGACUGCGACACGGCCCGUACAUCUACGGAUGGCAGCAACUGGGAAUAUUCGGCAAUGGGCGAAAGCCUGACCGAGCGACGCCGCGUGGAGGAUUGAAGGCCCUCGGGUUGUAAACUCCUUUUGUCUGGGAAGAUUAUGACGGUACCAGAAGAAUAAGCACCUGCAAACUACGUGCCAGAAGCCUCGGUAAUACGUAGGGUGCGAGCGUUAUCCGGAUUUAUUGGGCGUAAAGAGUUGCGUAGGCUGUAUGACGCAUUCUGUUUGAAAUCCAGAAGCCUAACUUUUGGUUCGGAUAGAAUAUGGUCAUGCUUGAUGGUAUGAGAGGGCGCUGGAACCGACUGUGUAGCAGUGAAAUGCGUUGAUAUAGUCGGGAACACCGAAGGCGUAGGCAUGCGCCUGGCAUACACAUGACGCUGAGGCACGAAAGCUGGGGGAGCGAAAUCGAUUAGAGACCGAUGUAGUCCCAGCCGUAAACUAUCCCUGCUAGAUUCUCGUCCCGCCUUUGGCGGGGUGAGUGUCGAAGCUAACGCGUUAAGCAGGGCGCCUGGGGAGUACGAGCGCAAGCUUAAAACUCAAAGGAAUUGACGGGGACCUGCACAAGCAGUGGAGCGUGUGGUUUAAUUCGAUACAAAACGAAAAACCUCACCAGGGUUUGACAUGCAACUGCAAAGUCCGAGAAAUCGGACCUCCUUCGAGGGUGUUGCACAGAUGCUGCAUGGCUGUCAUCAGUUCGUGGCGUGAGCUGUUUCCUUAAGUGGAUAAACGAACGCAACCCGCAUCGUAUGUUAAAUAUUCAUACGAAACAGUCCGCCUUUUGGCGGAAGGAAGGCGCGGAUGAUGUCAAGUCCGCACGGCUCUUACACCCUGGGCUACACACACACUACAAUGGGUGAGACAACGAGCUACUACCUGGUAACAGGAAGUUAAUCUCUUAAACUCAUCCUCAGUUCAGAUUGAGGUCUGCAAUUUGACCUCAUGAAGACGGAAUUGCUAGUAAUCGCGGAUCAGCAUGCCGCGGUGAAUACGUUCUCAGGUCUUGUACACACCGCCCGUCAAGGCAGGAAAGUUGGGGGCACCUGAAAUACACGAUUGUGGACUAAGGUGAAACCAGCAAUCAGGCUUAAGUCGUAACAAGGUAUCCCUAGCCGAAGCUGGGGAUGGAUCACCUCCUUUCU